GGAGGGCCGGGAGGGCUAAUCUUCAACUUGUCCAUGCCAGCAGCCCCUUUUUUUCCAGACCAAGGGCUGUGAACCCGCCUGGGGAUGAGGCCUGGUCUUGUGGAACUGAACUUAGCUCGACGGGGCUGACCGCUCUGGCCCAGGGUGGUGGCAGUGCUCCUUUUGGACUUUUCUCUAGUGUUCCUCAUGGCGAGCAGAUGGAACCGGGAGACAUGGAGUCCCUGGCCAGUGUGAGUCCUAGCAUUGCAGGAGGGGAGACCCUGGAGGAGAGAGCCCGCCUCAAUUGAUGCCUGCAGAUUGAAUUUCCAGAGGCUUAGGAGGAGGAAGUUCUCCAAUGUUCUGUUUCCAGGCCUUGCUCAGGAAGCCCUGUAUUCAGGAGGCUACCAUUUAAAGUUUGCAGAUGAGCUUAUGGGGGGCAAUCUUAAAAAGUCCACAGCAGAUGCAUCCGGCUCGAGGGGCCAUCAGCUUUGAAUAAAUGCUUGUUCCAGAGCCCAUGAAUGCCAGCAGGCACCCCUCCUUUCCUGGGGUAAAGGUUUUCAGAUGCUGCAUCUUCUAAAUUGAGCCUCCGGUCAUACUAGUUUUGUGCUUGGAACCUUGCUUCAAGAAGAUCCCUAAGCUGUAGAACAUUUUAACGUUGAUGCCACAACGCAGAUUGAUGCCUUGUAGAUGGAGCUUGCAGAUGGAGCCCCGUGACCUCUCACCUACCCACCUGUUUGCCUGCCUUCUUGUGCGUUUCUCGGAGAAGUUCUUAGCCUGAUGAAAUAACUUGGGGCGUUGAAGAGCUGUUUAAUUUUAAAUGCCUUAGACUGGGGAUAUAUUAGAGGAAGCAGAUUGUCAAAUUAAGGGUGUCAUUGUGUUGUGCUAAACGCUGGGAGGGUACAAGUUGGUCAUUCCUAAAUCUGUGUGUGAGAAAUGGCAGGUCUAGUUUGGGCAUUGUGAUUGCAUUGCAGAUUACUAGGAGAAGGGAAUGGUGGGUACACCGGUAGUGCUCUUUUGUUCUUGCUUCGUUUUUUUAAACUUGAACUUUACUUCGUUAGAUUUCAUAAUACUUUCUUGGCAUUCUAGUAAGAGGACCCUGAGGUGGGAGUUGUGGGGGACGGGGAGAAGGGGACAGCUUGGCACCGGUCCCGUGGGCGUUGCAGUGUGGGGGAUGGGGGUAUGCAGCUUGGCACUGGUACUGGGAGGGAUGAGGGUGAAGAAGGGGAGAGGGUUGGUUAGAGAUACAGUGUGGGUGGUGGGGGUGGUAGGAAAUGCAGGUUGAAGGGAAUUCUCUGGGGCUUUGGGGAAUUUAGUGCGUGGGUGAGCCAAG
This 1309-nucleotide long non-coding RNA is filed under the name Homo sapiens (human). Its description in RNAcentral is "long non-coding RNA NONHSAT159236.1". The stretch from base 176 to 334 matches the Rfam family "Nuclear enriched abundant transcript 1 conserved region 3". Lineage: Eukaryota; Metazoa; Chordata; Mammalia; Primates; Hominidae. The record is from RNAcentral.